GUGCCCUAUGCUGCCUGUGCGUGCCCUAUGCUGCCUGUGCGUGCCCUAUGCUGCCUGUGCGUGGGGAUCCUGGCAGGAGUUUGUUAGUAUUUGGAAAUAGUUUUUAGGUGGUCCCUAAGGUGUGUAAUUAGGUGCUGGAGGUUGCUGUGCUAUCCACAGGGGAGGAGGAGGCGGCAUAUGGAUUUAUGGGUGUGGCUUAAAAUGACAAAAUAAAUUUCUUUCACAUAUCGGUAAAGGGUCAAAUCCCUGCAGUGAGCACCAAUUAUUAUUGUGUGCUACCACCAUUAAUGUGGUUAUGGUCUUAAAAGCUUUUGUGAUGAAAUGAUUAUUAUAUAGAUAUUGAUUUCUAAUGGCCUAAACUUUACAUGCUCAGUGUACUCUGGGCUCUCAACAACUUGUGUCAUGUCAUUUACUGUUAAUGUAAGUUCAAUAUACACAUAUAUAUUGCAUUUCCAGUCAUUUUUGUUUGUGUACUUUUAGUUCUACUUUUAAACCGUUUGUUACAGGCCUGCCAGAUAUAUUCAAUACACACUAGGCACGUCAGUCAGUCUGUGGGGCACCUCUAAAGGGUCAACUUGACUUGCCGUUAGGUCAGGUGUCAGUCUGUUGGUAGAAAUUGUUCUCUCGAUACAUCCCAUGGGCUUGAUACAUGUUUAAAGACAGCGUAAAGGAAACCCUUGAAGCAAAUAUAAAAUUGCUUAGGCUGCUCUAAACACAUUUGCAAUUAAUGUGAAUUACUAGACAGUGUAGUGGUUUUUUUUGUUUUUUUGCUGCUGCUGCAAUGAUUGAAACAGCGCCACCUGUUGGUCAGUUCUGCCAACUGGUCUCUAUUCAGGAUAAAUUUUCAGAAACACUCCUGAUAUUGCUCUGCUCCGUCGGCUCCGUUCGUAUACCUACUGUCUGCUACUGAGGGUCUCGGCAUUCAUACAGACGUGAGCGGUGCUUUCUUUGUUACAUAUGGCAAAGAUAUAGUCUGUACCUGGUGUCCUAUGCCAGUGUUAAUGAGAGCCAAUCUUAUAGUACAUGACAUUUUGGCCCUUAUUAGCCUAUUGGCUAAGAGACCAAAUCCAUGCAUAUGAAAUGAUUUCUAAUAGGCUGAGCGGGAAAGGGGUUAAAGAAAAUGUUUAUUCUGCAAUAUUUGGAUUUUACCCUUUCUUGCUUCUUGGGAUUGGCUAAUACCCUAAGUAGAAUUCUGUUAUGAAUGAUGCUGGAAUUAAUUUAAAAAAAAAACUAAUGCCUAAAGGGCUAAACUGUUCCUUGUAAGAAUUAAGGGUUUAUGAGUACUGCUGAGAUGCUGGCCAGUACCACACGGUCACCAGUAGGUGGCAGCCCUGUCUUACUGGAAAUCUCAGGCUCUAACUGAGAAGAAAAUGUUUUCCCUUGCCUGUUUCUCACUGCAUAUUAAAUGCCCAUAUUGUUCAUGACACAUGGUGGGGGGGCUCCUUGCCUGUAAAUGAUUAGAGAUGGAUUAGAUCCCUAUAGAGGGAACAAUGUAAGCAGUGGGCAAUUAACAACUCUGCUUGUAACCUUUCUGUCUUUUUGUUUUCUCCUAUAGCCAGCGACCCUAACAACAAGAUAGUACUUAAAAUGCCAGACUGGAGUGUUGCAGCACUUACCCAUUUAAUUUAUACUAAGUUCAUUUUAAAACCAGCUUAGUGGCCUCAGACUGGGCAGAGUCCCAUUCCAUUACCAAGGGCUCUUUCAUAUGGCGCUUUAGCGUUCUGCUGCCGGCAAUGAGAUGGCUGGGUUUUAAUCAAAUGGAGAGAAGG
Xenopus tropicalis (tropical clawed frog) is the source of this 1769-nucleotide long non-coding RNA. RefSeq lists it as uncharacterized. The transcript has 2 exons. The record is from RefSeq and is a predicted model, not a curated record. Lineage: Eukaryota; Metazoa; Chordata; Amphibia; Anura; Pipidae.